CGCGGCCUAUCAGCUUGUUGGUGGGGUAACGGCCUACCAAGGCGACGACGGGUAGCCGGCCUGAGAGGGCGACCGGCCACACUGGGACUGAGACACGGCCCAGACUCCUACGGGAGGCAGCAGUGGGGAAUAUUGCGCAAUGGGCGAAAGCCUGACGCAGCGACGCCGCGUGAGGGAUGACGGCCUUCGGGUUGUAAACCUCUUUCAGCAGGGACGAAGCGAAAGUGACUGUACCUGCAGAAGAAGCACCGGCUAACUACGUGCCAGCAGCCGCGGUAAUACGUAGGGUGCAAGCGUCGUCCGGAAUUAUUGGGCGUAAAGAGCUCGUAGGCGGCUCGUCGCGUCGGAUGUGAAACCUCGGGGCUCAACCCCGAGCCUGCAUUCGAUACGGGCGGGCUAGAAUUCGGUAGGGGAGACUGGAAUUCCUGGUGUAGCGGUGAAAUGCGCAGAUAUCAGGAGGAACACCGAUGGCGAAGGCAGGUCUCUGGGCCGACAUUGACGCUGAGGGGCGAAAGCGUGGGGAGCGAACAGGAUUAGAUACCCUGGUAGUCCACGCCGUAAACGUUGGGCGCUAGGUGUGGGGGACUUUCCACGUCCUCUGUGCCGCAGCUAACGCAUUAAGCGCCCCGCCUGGGGAGUACGG
This 643-nucleotide ribosomal RNA is filed under the name Yinghuangia aomiensis. RNAcentral's name for it is "bacterial SSU rRNA". It matches the Rfam family "Bacterial small subunit ribosomal RNA", at positions 232 to 885 of the family's 1533-position model. Lineage: Bacteria; Bacillati; Actinomycetota; Actinomycetes; Kitasatosporales; Streptomycetaceae. The record is from RNAcentral.